Molecule: ribosomal RNA, 947 nt
Filed under: uncultured bacterium
Lineage: Bacteria
Description: bacterial SSU rRNA
Rfam family: Bacterial small subunit ribosomal RNA
Source: RNAcentral
AGAGUUUGAUCCUGGCUCAGAAUCAACGCUGGCGGCGCGCUUAACACAUGCAAGUCGCACGAGAAAGGGAGCAAUCCUGAGUAAAGUGGCGUACGGGUGAGUAACACGUGGAUCAUCUACCUUUUAGUGGGGAAUACCUCCGGGAAACUGGAGACAAUACCGCAUAAGCUCGUGAGAGGAAAGCAGCAAUGCGCUGAAAGAGGAGUCCGCGGCUGAUUAGCUAGUUGGCGGGGUAACGGCCCACCAAGGCGAAGAUCGGUAGCCGGCCUGAGAGGGCACACGGCCACACUGGCACUGAAACACGGGCCAGACUCCUACGGGAGGCAGCAGUGGGGAAUCUUGCACAAUGGGGGAAACCCUGAUGCAGCGACGCCGCGUGAGCGAUGAAGCCCUUCGGGGUGUAAAGCUCUUUCGACGGGAACGAUAAUGACGGUACCCGAAGAAGAAGCUGCGGCUAACUACGUGCCAGCAGCCGCGGUAAUACGUAGGCAGCAAGCGUUGUUCGGAAUUACUGGGCGUAAAGAGUGUGUAGGCGGUGUUCUAAGUCUGUUGUGAAAUCUCCCGGCUCAACUGGGAGGGUGCGGCGGAGACUGGAAUGCUAGAGUAUGGGAGAGGUAAGCGGAAUUCCUGGUGUAGCGGUGAAAUGCGUAGAUAUCAGGAGGAACACCUGUGGUGUAGACAGCUUACUGGACCAUGACUGACGCUGAGACACGAAAGCGUGGGUAGCAAACAGGAUUAGAUACCCUGGUAGUCCACGCCCUAAACGAUGCAUACUUGGUGUGAGCCAUUCAUUUGGUUCGUGCCGGAGCUAACGCGUUAAGUAUGCCGCCUGGGGAGUACGGUCGCAAGGCUGAAACUCAAAGGAAUUGACGGGGGCCCGCACAAGCGGUGAGCAUGUGGUUUCAAUUCGACGCAACGCGAAGAACCUUACCUGGGCUCCGAACGGC